Molecule: RNA transcript, 1621 nt
Organism: Beta vulgaris subsp. vulgaris (sugar beet)
Lineage: Eukaryota; Viridiplantae; Streptophyta; Magnoliopsida; Caryophyllales; Amaranthaceae
Exons: 7
Source: RefSeq, a predicted model, not a curated record
AUCCUUUCUACCAAACAAGCUUUAAGAAGAAAACAUCCAAAAUGAUAAAACCUCAAAAACUCCCGGAUCAUAAUAUUGCAUCACCCUGUCCUCACAAGUCACAGUCCUUUGUGACGAAACUCUGCUCAUUACGUCCCACACACCAGACGUUGUUAAUCAGGAUUCAGUACUGGCUUAACAGGGUCAAUUUUUUCUGGUUUUAAGCAAUAAGGAGGACUAUGUGGGCAUAAGACAGAAUUUGAAACCCCACUAUGGAUGCUGCCUGCAGCUGCAUGCCUCUAAGGCACUCCUUCUGCCCUAUUGCAUUGAUUUCACGUUUUCCUGGUCCUCUUAUCCGUAAGAAAACAAAACGCCUGCCUUAUCGGUCUCUUAUUCUUGAUAAUGCUGAAGGCUCUGCUUUGGAGAAGUCCUCCUCAGAAUCUGUUACCCGUCGUCUGAUUCUGCUGCGUCAUGCGGAAAGCACAUGGAGCAAUCAUUCUUUACGAGAUCAUGAGCGUCCUCUGAGUAAAGCUGGUCGCGCUGAUGCUGCCGAUGUCUCAUACAAGCUCCAACGUUUAGGUUGGGUUCCAGAGCUGAUCUUAUGCAGUGAUGCUGCAAGGACAAGGGAGACACUCUCGGUUAUGCAAGAGAGAUGCAUGGGCUUCUUACAGGCUGCAGUACAUUUCUUUCCAAGUUUCUACUCGGUUGCUGCUAUGGAUGGUCAAACUGCUGAACAUCUCCAACAAAUGAUCUGCAAAUUUUCCUCAGAUGACAUUCUUACAUUUCCAUUGGUUUUGAAAAUUAAGCAUGAAGUGUCUAUAUCCAUCUUUACAACACGAGUGCUCAAGGUGUAUGGGGCAUAACAAAGGCUGGGAGGAAGCAGCCUCCAUGUUCACUGGCUCAGUGAUUGAAUUGAAAACAUGCAAUGCUGCCUUGCUUGAAGCCACUGGAAAAUCAUGGGAAGAGGCGUUUGAGUCAGCUGGACUUGGGGGAUGGAAGCUGCAAGGUCUUGUGAAGCCAAAUAGCAGCCUUGAGAAUUAUGUUCCCACGUGAUUUCUUUUCAAACUACAAGAGUUAAGAAGUACUAUUAUGCAACACUUGCUGCCUAGUCUGCGACUUAGAUUCAUUGCCAUCAAUGGUGUACAGUAUGACGUACAUUGAAAGGGGCCAUAUUUGUCAACUCAUCUCCUUCUGUUCAGAUUCAGUGACUUUACUUAGCCGAUAUGAAGCCUGAAGCAAUGCAUGCUUACUUUCAUCGAUAAAAUGUGUAUGGCACUCUGCAGAAACAUGGUAAGGGUAAAGGGAGGGAAGGAGCAUAUAUAUUCCCCUCUACAUCUAUUUGCAUUUUUUAUAUAUUUAUUUAUACCUUAUUAUUACAUUGUUAGAGACAUUAUUUACCAUAUUACCCACUCAUUUAGUGUGAUUCUGUUAAAUUGCUCACCAACUGUAAUACCGUUAUGGCAAGGAAAAAGAAUCAACGUCAAAAUCUGAAAUAUCUUGUGUUGGUAGACCUAGUAAAAUAGUCUGUCAAGUCGGUUGUGGGUCGGAUAACUUCUCAUUUGUGUCAUUUUUGGGACUGAUUAUUUGUUUAUACUUGGCAGAACAGUAGCGUUUGUUGCGCCCUCUUAUCCUGUUGAUCGUA